This 253-nucleotide ribosomal RNA is filed under the name uncultured bacterium. RNAcentral's name for it is "partial 16S ribosomal RNA". It matches the Rfam family "Bacterial small subunit ribosomal RNA", at positions 524 to 776 of the family's 1533-position model. The record is from RNAcentral.
CACGUAGGGCGCAAGCGUUGUCCGGAAUUAUUGGGCGUAAAGAGCUCGUAGGCGGACUGUCACGUCUGCUGUGAAAAGCUGGGGCUUAACCCUGGCCUUGCAGUGGAUACGGGCAGACUAGAGGUAGGUAGGGGAGAAUGGAAUUCCCGGUGUAGCGGUGAAAUGCGCAGAUAUCGGGAGGAACACCGGUGGCGAAGGCGGUUCUCUGGGCCGAUACUGACGCUGAGGAGCGAAAGCGUGGGGAGCGAACAGG